UGGCGAACGGGUGAGUAACACGUGAGUAACCUGCCCUUGACUUUGGGAUAACUUCAGGAAACUGGGGCUAAUACCGGAUAGGAGCUCCUGCUGCAUGGUGGGGGCUGGAAAGUUUCGGCGGUUGGGGAUGGACUCGCGGCUUAUCAGCUUGUUGGUGGGGUAGUGGCUUACCAAGGCUUUGACGGGUAGCCGGCCUGAGAGGGUGACCGGCCACAUUGGGACUGAGAUACGGCCCAG
Molecule: ribosomal RNA, 237 nt
Filed under: uncultured bacterium
Lineage: Bacteria
Also listed under: 1 other name
Description: partial 16S ribosomal RNA
Rfam family: Bacterial small subunit ribosomal RNA
Source: RNAcentral